AUGGGCCGUUGGUUGCCUUCAUGGGAGAGUGCGGCCUUUGAGGUCUUCAGCGUGGGUGUGGAGGAGCGGGAAGAGGUGAGGAGGAUGACAACAUGGGAAAAAAGCAGCCAGAUCAAAGCUCCCGUCGCCGCUCACGUUGCCAAGGAGUGGAGGGCCGCAGUUGGCCGCAUCACAGACAAGCGAGGACAAGGACAACGCCUGGAUUCGGCGAUGGCAUCAUCCAUCAUGAGAGGCCUGGGCCUCCUCCACGGACAAGGCGGCGGCGGACAACGCCUGGAUUCGGCGAUGGCAUCAUCCAUCAUGAGAGGCCUGGGCUUCCUCCACGGCCAAGGCGGCGGCGAUCUGAGCACCAGUUCAAGUUUUCUGAAGAAAAGCUUCAGGCUUCUGCAGUUUUCAUUCUUCACGGCGCAGAGGUUACAGAGGUCAGAUGAUGUGUGCAAGGAAGGAAAGAUGCAGACAAGCAACGCCGAAGACGUCUUCAAAGCGCUUGAUGAGAUUGAGUUCCCAGAGUUGGUAGAGCCCCUGAGGACUGCAUUGGAUGAAGCAAAGGCAGUCUGGAGCAAAACAGAGGAAACUAGAUACAGAGCCAAUGCUGUAGAGCAAAAUGAUCGAGCAAACGAAGCCAACGCGGAUGACGAUUAA
Molecule: ribosomal RNA, 642 nt
Filed under: Triticum aestivum (bread wheat)
Lineage: Eukaryota; Viridiplantae; Streptophyta; Magnoliopsida; Poales; Poaceae
Description: partial small subunit ribosomal RNA
Source: RNAcentral